Molecule: long non-coding RNA, 1150 nt
Filed under: Lactuca sativa (garden lettuce)
Lineage: Eukaryota; Viridiplantae; Streptophyta; Magnoliopsida; Asterales; Asteraceae
Description: long non-coding RNA (LSAT_LNC008080)
Source: RNAcentral
GUUUUAUAUGUAUGUACGCAAAUGUAUAUGUACGGUCAAAAACCACAACUGGAAUUGCCCAACAACCCACAUUGGAAUACAACUUUUUUUACAUUGGCUAUAGACAACAAUAAAGUACAAUGCCAUUACAAGUACCAACAUCAUUUUGACACAACAACUAUUAACCAACAAAAACUAAAGCCAAGGCCGGCCCAAUACUUGGGUGGCUUGGGCUUAGACCAAGGGCAUCAAAUUUAUUGGGGCAUAAAAUAAGUCCAACAAUGUUUAUAUUAUAUAUAUCAGUGGCCCAAAAAAAAUAUCCCAUAUAUUUGUGAUUUGAUUUCAGACGUGAAGAGGGCAACGAAAACACUUGAACGUCAAACAACCAUCGAUCGUUCAUCAACGCAUUGAAAAUCGAAAUGUCUAAUGCUUUGAAACUUGUUGCCAUCUGUUGAAGAGCCGUUAUCUAUAGUCAAUAUUCGAUAAUACAUACCUCCCAAUUUCUUUCACUGAUAUCCUUUUCAUUGUUUUCUCUAAAGCACCCAAUCUCUAAUGAUUUUUUUCUCUUUCAGUCGAUUUAUUUUUCUAUGAUUUAUUUCUCUAAUUUGGUUCGGUGGUUCACACAAAAUCGUGGUUCAAGUCUUCUGAUUUCUGAUACAACGAUUCUGAUUCAGUGAUUUGGGCGUCAUUCUGAUUUUGGGUGAGUUUUCAUUGUUCUCAUUUUAAUUUCAUAAGUGAUUUAUGUUUUGUGUUUUUGUUAUUUGUUUUAGAAUUAAGAUUUUUACUUGUUGGGUGUUCCAGUGAAAGCCUUCUAUGUGAUUACAUCUAUUUUAUUAUAGGGAAAAAGAGUGAAUCGUGGCUCAAACUCUUAUUUGAUUUUUCAUUUUUGUAUCUGAUUUCUUUAUUGUUUCAUAAAUCAGAUUUGGGUUUGGUUGUUUCAGAAAUUAGAUUUAGGUGAGCUCAUUUGAUAUAUGUGUUUAUUUAGGUUUGUUUCAUAAAUCUAAUUUAUUUCUUAAUUAUCUGAUCUCUUCUCUAUUUGAUUACAGGAAAAAAAAGUUUGAGCUCCAAAAUCAAUUUUGUAUCUGAUUUCUCCAUUGUUUUUGAGAUCAUAUUUGGGUAAUUUCUCUAAUGUUUUCUCCUAGUGUGAGCUCUGAAAUCAUAUUUGUUUUUG